AAAGGACUUUGAAAAGAGAGUUAAAUAGGGCGUGAAACUGCACACUGAAAAGCGAAUGAGUACACAUGGGUUCUUGUUGCUAAUCAAGUGCGUAUGGCAGACCGGCUUGUGAUACGUUAAUGUAUCAUUAGUCGGUCGUCGUACGUACUGCAUUUGGUUGCUUGACGUUCUGCUUGGUUUCAUAACAGCUACAGCCACAGUGAAGUACACCUCUCCCUCGUGGAGAUGGAUGUGUCACUCGUAGCCUUAUUAUGUUAACAAUAGAGAAAUUCUGUUCGUGGACAGCUGUGGUCGCUAAAUGCGGACGCAGUCGUUAGCUGAGAUGGAGCUUGAGAUACUCUGGUUCACAGAGCCUCAUGAUGGUUGGUUCACAGGAUGCGUUAUUGCGCGGUCUGUGGAUCGGUUGCAUCGGUCAUGUGAAUGCUAAAAGCAGGUUGUAUUGUGGCAUCAUUCGAACCGUCUUGAAACACGGGCUAAGGAGUUCAACAGAUGCGCGAGUUUACUGGUUUUCUAAACCAGAUGGCUAAGUUAACGCGACUUUGUGUAUAAUGGAGAGAACUCGUCCACUUUCGAGUUGGACGAGGUCACCUCCUGUGAUGGAUGGCAUAUUGAGUACCGGUUGCUGUUCGCAGUCGAGCGCAUAUGCUGAGACCCGAAAGAUGGUGAACUAUGCCUGGGUAGGAUGAAGCCGGAGGAAACUCUGGUGGAGGUCCGAAGCGUUUUUGACGUGCAAAUCAAUCGUCAGACUUGGGUAUAGGGGCGAAAGACUAAUCGAACCAUCUAGUAGCUGGUUCCCUUCGAA
Molecule: ribosomal RNA, 802 nt
Filed under: Neoechinorhynchus emyditoides
Lineage: Eukaryota; Metazoa; Acanthocephala; Eoacanthocephala; Neoechinorhynchida; Neoechinorhynchidae
Description: LSU rRNA
Rfam family: Eukaryotic large subunit ribosomal RNA
Source: RNAcentral